This 440-nucleotide ribosomal RNA is filed under the name uncultured bacterium. RNAcentral's name for it is "partial 16S ribosomal RNA". It matches the Rfam family "Bacterial small subunit ribosomal RNA", at positions 338 to 795 of the family's 1533-position model. The record is from RNAcentral.
CCUACGGGUGGCAGCAGUGGGGGAUAUUGCACAAUGGGGGAAACCCUGAUGCAGCGACGCCGCGUGUGGGAAGACGGUCCUCUGGAUUGUAAACCACUGUCCCCAGGGACGAAGAUGACGGUACCUGGGGAGGAAGCUCCGGCAAACUACGUGCCAGCAGCCGCGGUAAUACGUAGGGAGCGGGCGUUGUCCGGAAUUACUGGGUGAAAAGGGAGCGUAGGCGGGACUGCAGGUUGGUUGUCAAAUCUACCGGCCAACCCGGUAGCCGCACUUAAAACUGGAGUUCUUGAGUGAAGUAGAGGCAGGCGGAAUUCCUGGUGUAGCGGUGAAAUGCGUAGAUAUUAGGAGGAACACCAGUGGCGAAGGCAGUCUGCUGGGCUGUUACUGACGCUGAGGCUCGAAAGUGUGGGGAGCAAACAGGAUUAGAUACCCUUGUAGUC